ACCUGGGUGGCUCAGUCGGUUGAGCAUCUGACUUCAGCUCAGGUCACGACCUCACGCUUGGUGGGUUCGAGCCCCACGUCGGGCU
This is a transfer RNA of Felis catus (domestic cat), 85 nucleotides long. It matches the Rfam family "tRNA". From Rfam's summary of the family: Transfer RNA (tRNA) molecules are approximately 80 nucleotides in length. Their secondary structure includes four short double-helical elements and three loops (D, anti-codon, and T loops). Further hydrogen bonds mediate the characteristic L-shaped molecular structure. tRNAs have two regions of fundamental functional importance: the anti-codon, which is responsible for specific mRNA codon recognition, and the 3' end, to which the tRNAs corresponding amino acid is attached (by aminoacyl-tRNA synthetases). tRNAs cope with the degeneracy of the genetic code in two manners: having more than one tRNA (with a specific anti-codon) for a particular amino acid; and 'wobble' base-pairing, i.e. permitting non-standard base-pairing at the 3rd anti-codon position. Lineage: Eukaryota; Metazoa; Chordata; Mammalia; Carnivora; Felidae. The record is from Rfam.